GACGAACGCUGGCGGCGUGCCUAAUACAUGCAAGUCGAACGCUGAAGGAGGAGCUUGCUUCUCUGGAUGAGUUGCGAACGGGUGAGUAACGCGUAGGUAACCUGCCUGGUAGCGGGGGAUAACUAUUGGAAACGAUAGCUAAUACCGCAUAAUAGUAGAUGUUGCAUGACAUUUGCUUAAAAGGUGCAAUUGCAUCACUACCAGAUGGACCUGCGUUGUAUUAGCUAGUUGGUGAGGUAACGGCUCACCAAGGCGACGAUACAUAGCCGACCUGAGAGGGUGAUUGGCCACACUGGGACUGAGACACGGCCCAGACUCCUUAGGGAGGCAGCAGUAGGGAAUCUUCGGCAAUGGACGGAAGGCUGACCGAGCAACGCCGCGGGAGGGAAGAAGGGUUUCGGAUCGUAAAGCUCUGUUGUAAGAGAAGAACGAGUGUGAGAGUGGAAAGUUCACACUGUGACGGUAGCUUACCAGAAAGGGACGGCUAACUACGUG
RNAcentral lists this ribosomal RNA (495 nucleotides) under uncultured bacterium. RNAcentral describes it as "partial 16S ribosomal RNA". It matches the Rfam family "Bacterial small subunit ribosomal RNA", at positions 28 to 507 of the family's 1533-position model. The record is from RNAcentral.